Molecule: small nuclear RNA, 107 nt
Organism: Saimiri boliviensis boliviensis (Bolivian squirrel monkey)
Lineage: Eukaryota; Metazoa; Chordata; Mammalia; Primates; Cebidae
Source: Ensembl
GUGCUCGCUUUGGCAGCAAAUAUACUAAAAUUGAAAUGAUACACAUAAGAUUAGCAUGACCCCUGAGCAAGGAUGACACAUAAAUUCAUGAAGCAUUCCAUAUUUUU